Molecule: ribosomal RNA, 880 nt
Filed under: Curvularia ischaemi
Lineage: Eukaryota; Fungi; Ascomycota; Dothideomycetes; Pleosporales; Pleosporaceae
Description: LSU rRNA
Rfam family: Eukaryotic large subunit ribosomal RNA
Source: RNAcentral
AUUGCCUUAGUAACGGCGAGUGAAGCGGCAACAGCUCAAAUUUGAAAUCUGGCUCUUUUAGGGUCCGAGUUGUAAUUUGCAGAGGGCGCUUUGGCUUUGGCAGCGGUCCAAGUUCCUUGGAACAGGACGUCACAGAGGGUGAGAAUCCCGUACGUGGUCGCUAGCUAUUGCCGUGUAAAGCCCCUUCGACGAGUCGAGUUGUUUGGGAAUGCAGCUCUAAAUGGGAGGUAAAUUUCUUCUAAAGCUAAAUAUUGGCCAGAGACCGAUAGCGCACAAGUAGAGUGAUCGAAAGAUGAAAAGCACUUUGGAAAGAGAGUCAAACAGCACGUGAAAUUGUUGAAAGGGAAGCGCUUGCAGCCAGACUUGCUUGCAGUUGCUCAUCCGGGCUUUUGCCCGGUGCACUCUUCUGUAGGCAGGCCAGCAUCAGUUUGGGCGGUGGGAUAAAGGUCUCUGACACGUUCCUUCCUUCGGGUUGGCCAUAUAGGGGAGACGUCAUACCACCAGCCUGGACUGAGGUCCGCGCAUCUGCUAGGAUGCUGGCGUAAUGGCUGUAAGCGGCCCGUCUUGAAACACGGACCAAGGAGUCUAACAUCUAUGCGAGUGUUUGGGUGUCAAGCCCGAGCGCGUAAUGAAAGUGAACGGAGGUGGGAACCCGCAAGGGCGCACCAUCGACCGAUCCUGAAGUUUACGGAAGGAUUUGAGUAAGAGCAUGGCUGUUGGGACCCGAAAGAUGGUGAACUAUGCUUGAAUAGGGUGAAGCCAGAGGAAACUCUGGUGGAGGCUCGCAGCGGUUCUGACGUGCAAAUCGAUCGUCAAAUUUGGGCAUAGGGGCGAAAGACUAAUCGAACUAUCUAGUAGCUGGUUCCUGCCGAAGUUCCCC